Molecule: ribosomal RNA, 419 nt
Filed under: uncultured bacterium
Lineage: Bacteria
Description: bacterial SSU rRNA
Rfam family: Bacterial small subunit ribosomal RNA
Source: RNAcentral
AGAGUUUGAUCCUGGCUCAGGAUGAACGCUGGCGACAUGGAUAAGGCAUGCAAGUCGAAUGGCCGCAAGGCCAUGGCGAACGAGGUAGUAACACGUAGGAACGCACCCCUAAGUCGGGCAUAACUCGCCGAAAGGCGAGAUAAUUCUCGAUGGUCUCGUAAGAGUAAAGAUUUAUCGCUUAGGGAGCGGCCUGCGGCGUAUCAGCUAGUUGGUAAGGUAAUGGCUUACCAAGGCUAUGACGCGUAGGGGAGGUGAGAGCCUGACCCCCACCGAUGGGACUGAGACACGGCCCAUACACCUACGGGUGGCUGCAGUCGAGAAUCUUCCGCAAUGGGCGAAAGCCUGACGGAGCGAUGUCGCGUGAUGGAUGCCGUCCCUCGGGACGUAAACAUCUUUUAUGAGGGAGAAAUUUAUGAUAG